AUUGAACGCUGGCGGCAUGCCUUACACAUGCAAGUCGAACGGCAGCACGGGAGCAAUCCUGGUGGCGAGUGGCGAACGGGUGAGUAAUAUAUCGGAACGUGCCCAGUCGUGGGGAUAACGUAGCGAAAGCUACGCUAAUACCGCAUACGAUCUAUGGAUGAAAGCGGGGGAUCGCAAGACCUCGCGCGAUUGGAGCGGCCGAUAUCAGAUUAGGUAGUUGGUGAGGUAAAGGCUCACCAAGCCGACGAUCUGUAGCUGGUCUGAGAGGACGACCAGCCACACUGGGACUGAGACACGGCCCAGACUCCUACGGGAGGCAGCAGUGGGGAAUUUUGGACAAUGGGCGCAAGCCUGAUCCAGCAAUGCCGCGUGCAGGAUGAAGGCCUCGGUGUAACUGCUUUGUACGGUAACGAAACGGUAGAGC
RNAcentral lists this ribosomal RNA (424 nucleotides) under uncultured bacterium. Its description in RNAcentral is "bacterial SSU rRNA". It matches the Rfam family "Bacterial small subunit ribosomal RNA", at positions 30 to 459 of the family's 1533-position model. The record is from RNAcentral.